UUUCAGAUUCGAGCGUUGUAUAUUCCAGGCUCAAGUAAUGCAGGUGCAGAUUCUCUGUCUCGUUUUCGGGUGAUCCGUUCCCGUACAUUGGGACCGGAAGCAUUUAUUAUACCAGACAUUCCUAAUAUGAACUUUCAUAUGGUCAUUUCGAAACUGGAAUAUACUUUCAAAUAAACAAUUCGGUAGUUGAUAGUACAGAAAAGUUUAUCCGGGCUUUAAAUUUGUUAAAUGGUUUCAGGAAAGAUUUCGGUAUUGCCAAAGUAUAGCUUUCGUCCUUGCUGGACAUUGUUGCUCUUACUGCAUAUAUGUUAAAUUAGGAUUUGCUCAUUCAACAAUACGUACACAUCGAUCAGGCUUGAUCAGGCUUAAGCAUUUACAAUAAGCUAAAUGAUUAUGAAGACUUUACUAAAAAUUAAUAGUAAGCGAUGGUUUUGAGCGUUCAAGGUUGCUUCAGAUGGACACUAGGCUGACUUUUUAAGAGAGAUAUUGCAUCGUAUUUUGUCAAUAUGAUCAGGUAUAUGAAGUUCUGCAUACAAAGCUAGGCUAUUCCAGGCGGUUUUUUCCUUGGCUUGACGUGGUCUUUUUAUGCAUGGUUGGGGAGUUGACAGUUCAAAAUAUGAGCAAUGCAUGUUCUACAAAUCAUGCUUUAAACAAAAUGAUGUCAAAUUUACAAGAAAUAUGUAGAAAUUCAUUUGGUUUCAUCUAAGACCGAUCAGUUUGGUAGAGGGUUAACUAUACAC
This 740-nucleotide long non-coding RNA is filed under the name Mytilus galloprovincialis (Mediterranean mussel). The record is from RNAcentral. Lineage: Eukaryota; Metazoa; Mollusca; Bivalvia; Mytilida; Mytilidae.